Non-coding RNA from Triticum urartu, 1060 nucleotides. The record is from RefSeq and is a predicted model, not a curated record. Lineage: Eukaryota; Viridiplantae; Streptophyta; Magnoliopsida; Poales; Poaceae.
UCGCAGGGGGACCGUGGGGACAGUCGACCGGUGGGCCGCUCUCCCCAAUUUCCGCUGUCUUCCCACCUACGCCUCCCUCCACCGCCUCCGCCGGCGGCAGAUGAAGCCCCGGCCUCCCUAUCGCCGGAGGCCGUCCUUCCCCCUCCCCCCGCGGGAGCACCCCGAGGCCGAACCCAAAGCUAAGUGACCUCCACACAAGUACAUGACGCAUACCUCCCUCUCUCUGAGCUGAGCGAGCCACACGGUGGUGAUUUUUUUUCUUGCUGGAAUUGCUGCUGGGCGACCGCUACGAGGGCGCCGGACAUCGGAUCCGGCAUUUCCUGCGUCGCCCGCCGCGUGCGCCGCCGGGGCCGUCAAGUACACCGACCGCGGGGAGAGAAGGGAGGACUUUGGAACUGAUGGAUGUGGAGGGUAUUUUGAUAAAUAUCGGUCUUCUGUUUGGUAGACACAUGGAAAAGCCUGUCUCUCUUGGUCCUGACUCCAGAGAGUUUGCAGCAUUGUGAUGACUAAUGCACAUUUCCUCCUCAAUCUUUAGAACCAUCUUUAGAGCUUCCUUCUCAAGCUUGUGAAGCCCUUUGCUUCCGCUUGGCGCACUUUUUAGAGAUGCCCUUCAGCAGGCCUCUUGGAUCCUGAUCUGAUGGGGUGUCUAUCUGUGGCGGCGGUGCUCUAGUUCGUCGAUCUUUGGCAGAUAAUAUCGCAGCAAUCCACAUCGCCGGCCCCGAUAGUUGGACCGCUGGAUGCAUUUGGUUGGAGAGAAACCGCCGGGGUUUCAAGAACAAAACGCUUCUCCCCCAUGGCAUAUUUGACGAAGUGUAUAGUCACUGCCCGGAAUGGUAGCCUAAAGGGAGUAUUCCCCUAGCGAGUUGAGUGUGUGGUGGUGUGCUUGAGGCUGCUAGCUUGUUGAUGCGUGGAGCAGAACUUGUAAAUUGAAUAUUUUUCUAUCUUAAUACAUAGGCAUGCAAUCUUUAUGCGUGUUAUCCCAAAAAAAAAGACACAUUUUCGAAGCUGUACAGCCUAGACACCGUCGAGAUUGUCUCCAGCAAAACAGAAUUUGACUUUA